UGCCAAAGACAAGCUCAGCUGCUC
This 24-nucleotide non-coding RNA is filed under the name Mus musculus (house mouse). Lineage: Eukaryota; Metazoa; Chordata; Mammalia; Rodentia; Muridae. The record is from RNAcentral.